RNAcentral lists this ribosomal RNA (331 nucleotides) under uncultured Glomeromycotina. RNAcentral describes it as "eukaryotic LSU rRNA". The record is from RNAcentral. Lineage: Eukaryota; Fungi; Glomeromycota.
CAGUCGUACCAGCGGGAAAUCAACCUUUCGAGUGGGAUCUUGGAGCUUUAAAGAGUUUCAAAGCCUUUGGGGUUUUAAGAUUUCUACUCUUUUGGUGUACUUUCUCGUAGGUAGGUCAACAUCGAUUUUGAACAUCAUAAAAAGAUCGGAGGAAUGUAGCUUCGAUCUCGUAUUGAAGUGUUAUAGCCUUUGGUAAAUGUGAUGUUCAAGAUCGAGGAUUGCAACGAAUAUCCUUUUGGGCUAUUCGUCUGAUCUCUGAUACGUGGCCUUGGUAUCGAAAGCGUGCUUACGGUAUUAAGGUAUUACGGUCAAAAGGUUAGAACGGAUUACA